UACAGGGGGUGCAAACGUUGCUCGGAAUCAUUGGGCGUAAAGCGCACGUAGGCGGUUCGUUAUGUCGGAUGUGAAAGCCCUUGGCUUAACCGAGGAAGUGCAUCCGAAACUGGCGAGCUAGAGUACUAAAGAGGAUCGCGGAACUCCCGGUGUAGAGGUGAAAUUCGUAGAUAUCGGGAGGAACACCAGUGGCGAAGGCGGUUGCCUGGAGCUUUGCUGACGCUGAGGCGCGAAAGCGUGGGGAGCGAUCCGG
This 253-nucleotide ribosomal RNA is filed under the name uncultured bacterium. RNAcentral's name for it is "partial 16S ribosomal RNA". It matches the Rfam family "Bacterial small subunit ribosomal RNA", at positions 524 to 776 of the family's 1533-position model. The record is from RNAcentral.